RNAcentral lists this ribosomal RNA (245 nucleotides) under uncultured Eubacteriales bacterium. RNAcentral's name for it is "uncultured Clostridiales bacterium partial 16S ribosomal RNA". It matches the Rfam family "Bacterial small subunit ribosomal RNA", at positions 524 to 768 of the family's 1533-position model. The record is from RNAcentral. Lineage: Bacteria; Bacillati; Bacillota; Clostridia; Eubacteriales.
CACGUAAGGGGCAAGCGUUGUCCGGAAUCACUGGGCGUAAAGGGAGCGUAGGUGGUAAGAAAAGUCAGAUGUGAAAGUUUGCGGCUCAACCGUAAAAUUGCAUUUGAAACUUUCUUACUAGAGUAUCGGAGAGGAAAGCGGAAUUCCUGGUGUAGCGGUGAAAUGCGCAGAUAUCAGGAAGAACACCAAUGGCGAAGGCAGCUUUCUGGAAGAUAACUGACACCGAGGCUCGAAAGCAUGGGGAG